AUUGAACGCUGGCGGCAGGCCUAACACAUGCAAGUCGAGCGGCAGCGGAAAAGUAGCUUGCUACUUUUGCCGGCGAGCGGCGGACGGGUGAGUAAUGCCUGGGGAUCUGCCCAGUCGAGGGGGAUAACUACUGGAAACGGUAGCUAAUACCGCAUACGCCCUACGGGGGAAAGCAGGGGACCUUCGGGCCUUGCGCGAUUGGAUGAACCCAGGUGGGAUUAGCUAGUUGGUGAGGUAAUGGCACACCAAGGCGACGAUCCCUAGCUGGUGUGAGAGGAUGAUCAGCCACACUGGAACUGAGACACGGUCCAGACUCCUACGGGAGGCAGCAGUGGGGAAUAUUGCACAAUGGGGGAAACCCUGAUGCAGCCAUGCCGCGUGUGUGAAGAAGGCCUUCGGGUUGUAAAGCACUUUCAGCGAGGAGGAAAGGUUGGUAGCUAAUAACUGCCAGCUGUGACGUUACUCGCAGAAGAAGCACCGGCUAACUCCGUGCCAGCCGCCGCCGUAA
Molecule: ribosomal RNA, 508 nt
Filed under: uncultured bacterium
Lineage: Bacteria
Description: partial 16S ribosomal RNA
Rfam family: Bacterial small subunit ribosomal RNA
Source: RNAcentral